This 492-nucleotide ribosomal RNA is filed under the name uncultured bacterium. RNAcentral's name for it is "partial 16S ribosomal RNA". It matches the Rfam family "Bacterial small subunit ribosomal RNA", at positions 29 to 507 of the family's 1533-position model. The record is from RNAcentral.
AGUGAACGCUGGCGGUAGGCCUAACACAUGCAAGUCGAACGGCAGCACAGUAAGAGCUUGCUCUUACGGGUGGCGAGUGGCGGACGGGUGAGGAAUACAUCGGAAUCUACUUUUUCGUGGGGGAUAACGUAGGGAAACUUACGCUAAUACCGCAUACGACCUACGGGUGAAAGCAGGGGAUCUUCGGACCUUGCGCGAUUGAAUUAGACGAUGUCGGAUUAGCUAGUUGGCGGGGUAAAGGCCCACCAAGGCGACGAUCCGUAGCUGACCUGAGAGGAUGAUCAGCCACACUGGAACUGAGACACGGUCCAGACUCCUACGGGAGGCAGCAGUGGGGAAUAUUGGACAAUGGGCGAAAGCCUGAUCCAGCAACACCGCGUGAGUGAAGAAGGUCUUCGGGUUGUAAAGCUCUGUUGUUGGGAAAGAAAAGAAGCAUGUGAAUCCCCGGCCGUUCUGACGGUACCCAAAGAAUAAGCAACGGCUAACUUCGUG